RNAcentral lists this long non-coding RNA (234 nucleotides) under Elaeis guineensis (African oil palm). Its description in RNAcentral is "long non-coding RNA (EGUI_LNC036963)". The record is from RNAcentral. Lineage: Eukaryota; Viridiplantae; Streptophyta; Magnoliopsida; Arecales; Arecaceae.
UCGAAAAAAUUUUGAUGAUAUUAUGAUAAGAAACACAUAUAUCUCAUUAUCAAAUAGAAUAGAACCUAUGGAAUCCCAUACAAAAGAGAUUUUUAUCCGAUCAGAUGGUUGACCUGUGAAUAUAAAUCAUAGAGGGAUCUAAUUGUUAAUGUGAUUGAUGAUUGAUCCAAUAUAAUUGUCAAACUUACUAAGUGUUAGUAAGUUAUAGAAGAAUUAAUUAAUAAUUGGAUUGCU